This 105-nucleotide small nuclear RNA is filed under the name Meriones unguiculatus (Mongolian gerbil). The record is from RNAcentral. Lineage: Eukaryota; Metazoa; Chordata; Mammalia; Rodentia; Muridae.
GUCCUUGUUUUGGUAGCACAUAUACUAAAAUCGCAACAAAACAGAGAAGAUUGGCCUGAGCCCUGAGCAAGGAUUACAUGCAAAUCCUUGUACAUGCAAAUCCUU